Molecule: long non-coding RNA, 206 nt
Filed under: Lathyrus oleraceus (garden pea)
Lineage: Eukaryota; Viridiplantae; Streptophyta; Magnoliopsida; Fabales; Fabaceae
Description: Pisum sativum (pea) long non-coding RNA (PSAT_LNC011632)
Source: RNAcentral
UGAGCUGUCAUGCUCGCUAGGCGAAGCCCACGUGUUUUGAAAAAAAAAAUGAAAAACGAAAGAAAAAAUUAAAUAAAUAAAUAAAAAAAAAAAAUCUUGGACUUGGACCUCUCUCAUUUGAGCCCACAGGUCCACAAAAAUCAGGUUAUAAAUUCAAAGUUUCAGUGAAACAAAAUUUCAUUCUAUUCCUAUUACCCUGGAUGGAG